Molecule: long non-coding RNA, 1177 nt
Filed under: Homo sapiens (human)
Lineage: Eukaryota; Metazoa; Chordata; Mammalia; Primates; Hominidae
Description: long intergenic non-protein coding RNA 2930
Source: RNAcentral
GCUGUGAGGAUGGAAUGGGGAACCUGGACAGCUCCAGCAAUCUUACUGCAGAAGGUGCUUCUGGGUGGAUCCCAGGCAGAGGAAUCAGAGGCAAAACAUGGAGGGAGUGAACUCCUGAAAUCACUUGGGUUCUGAAUCCAGCCAAGCCCGAAACCAGCCCUGCCCUGGGCUUUUCAGCUCAACCUACUGCCUGCCCAGGGCCAUCAAUAAUAAAUGUCCACAGACAGCUGAAGGACAUUAAAGACAGAUGGUGAUGGAUCAGAGCACUCAUCAGCCACUGGGUGUAGACUGUAUAAAAAGCUGAGCCCAGAGGCCACCAUGAUCAACCUGCAACCUGGCAAGAAAUGGACUCAACUCCACAGACAGCAGUUGUCAGGGAGCCCAGACAUGUAAGGAUGCGGCAAAGGCCCUCGCCAGAUGCUGAAUGCGGAUGCCGUCAUCUUGGACUUCCUAGCUUCCAGAACGCUGCCUCUGUCAUAUACCAAGCUUGCAUCUAUAUGUGGCUCAGUGUCCAGGCUGCCUGACAUCCCAGGACAAUGCUGCACUGAUUUACUCUCUACAGCUCCAUGAGACAGAGCACUACGGAAGGGAGCCCCAUUCCCAAGCAUGGUGUCCAAUACACUGAAAGAAUAACUGGGCUCAGUAAUGCACCUAGAGACUCAGAUUCCAGACCUGCCCACUUGCUUUACUAUCCAAAACAACCAUGACACAUGACUUCUCUGGCGGGGUGUUGGCCAAGACAAACUGAACUAUAGAAGAUCCUUGACUUGCCAACGUUCAAAUGAUGAACUUUCAAAAAUAGCGAAACUGGCUGCAGAGCAAAAGCUUUUCAGCUCUGCACAACACCAACAGAUGGCGCUAAGUGUCACCCUUGUGGAGAGCAGAGGGACCUCGGAAGGGCCUUUGGAAAUCUAAUCUGGUUUUGAGUUCUUGGUGGGAAAAUGCACCUUUAAGUUGGGGGAGUUUGAAGACGUUGCCAAGACACGUGCUGCAGCAUUUGAUCUUUUCUGCCGCACUGGCUUCUGCAAUUAACAUGCUUUCACCAGUGAAACUCAGGUUGCGGGGAGAGCAUUCUUCCAGGUUCAUGCCUGUUGUCAUGGAGUAAUUAUAAUUCAUGUCUCCGUUCACAGUGUCCUGGUUUGUAGAAUAAAAUAUCUGGUCCACCCACCCAGUGGGA